Molecule: transfer RNA, 69 nt
Filed under: Megastomatohyla pellita (Oaxacan yellow treefrog)
Lineage: Eukaryota; Metazoa; Chordata; Amphibia; Anura; Hylidae
Description: tRNA-Val
Rfam family: tRNA
About the family: Transfer RNA (tRNA) molecules are approximately 80 nucleotides in length. Their secondary structure includes four short double-helical elements and three loops (D, anti-codon, and T loops). Further hydrogen bonds mediate the characteristic L-shaped molecular structure. tRNAs have two regions of fundamental functional importance: the anti-codon, which is responsible for specific mRNA codon recognition, and the 3' end, to which the tRNAs corresponding amino acid is attached (by aminoacyl-tRNA synthetases). tRNAs cope with the degeneracy of the genetic code in two manners: having more than one tRNA (with a specific anti-codon) for a particular amino acid; and 'wobble' base-pairing, i.e. permitting non-standard base-pairing at the 3rd anti-codon position.
Source: RNAcentral
CAAAAUAUAGCUUAAAUAAAGCAUCUUGCUUACACCAAGAAUAUACCUGUGAAAAUCAGAUUAUUUUGA